GAAGAGUAUAAGCAACACGUAAAGGGUAUUCCUUGUCACUAGCAAUCACACCGCACAACCCAUCCGAUCGGUUGUACACAUGAAAAACGUAAUUGGACUGUUCAACGUCUUGUCUUUGCCCUGGAUUAGUACGUUCUGCAACAGUCUUUGUAAAAAAAUUCAUGAACUCUCCGAUGCUGAAAUAUUUGUUAACAAACUACUCUUCAAUUAAAUCUUGCACAUACGAUGAUCGUUGAAAAAAUGAGAAACUAGAUAAGUCUGAGGCAGUGCAUAAUAAUUGCACUGGUUUUGGGUCAAAGCGGAGUAUAGAGACAGAAUACAGCUUCAUUCUGUAAAUAUGCUGUAAAUCAAGUUAAUGGUGUGGGU
Molecule: non-coding RNA, 366 nt
Organism: Schizosaccharomyces pombe (fission yeast)
Lineage: Eukaryota; Fungi; Ascomycota; Schizosaccharomycetes; Schizosaccharomycetales; Schizosaccharomycetaceae
Source: the annotation of a GenBank genome assembly